GCCUAACACAUGCAAGUCGAGCGGAUGACGGGAGCUUGCUCCUUGAUUCAGCGGCGGACGGGUGAGUAAUGCCUAGGAAUCUGCCUGGUAGUGGGGGACAACGUUUCGAAAGGAACGCUAAUACCGCAUACGUCCUACGGGAGAAAGCAGGGGACCUUCGGGCCUUGCGCUAUCAGAUGAGCCUAGGUCGGAUUAGCUAGUUGGUGGGGUAAUGGCUCACCAAGGCGACGAUCCGUAACUGGUCUGAGAGGAUGAUCAGUCACACUGGAACUGAGACACGGUCCAGACUCCUACGGGAGGCAGCAGUGGGGAAUAUUGGACAAUGGGCGAAAGCCUGAUCCAGCCAUGCCGCGUGUGUGAAGAAGGUCUUCGGAUUGUAAAGCACUUUAAGUUGGGAGGAAGGGCAGUAAGUUAAUACCUUGCUGUUUUGACGUUACCGACAGAAUAAGCACCGGCUAACUCUGUGCCAGCAGCCGCGGUAAUACAGAGGGUGCAAGCGUUAAUCGGAAUUACUGGGCGUAAAGCGCGCGUAGGUGGUUUGUUAAGUUGGAUGUGAAAGCCCCGGGCUCAACCUGGGAACUGCAUCCAAAACUGGCAAGCUAGAGUACGGUAGAGGGUGGUGGAAUUUCCUGUGUAGCGGUGAAAUGCGUAGAUAUAGGAAGGAACACCAGUGGCGAAGGCGACCACCUGGACUGAUACUGACACUGAGGUGCGAAAGCGUGGGGAGCAAACAGGAUUAGAUACCCUGGUAGUCCACGCCGUAAACGAUGUCAACUAGCCGUUGGAAUCCUUGAGAUUUUAGUGGCGCAGCUAACGCAUUAAGUUGACCGCCUGGGGAGUACGGCCGCAAGGUUAAACUCAAAUGAAUUGACGGGGGGCCCCCACAGCGGUGGAGCAUGUGGUUUAAUU
This 909-nucleotide ribosomal RNA is filed under the name Pseudomonas putida. RNAcentral describes it as "bacterial SSU rRNA". It matches the Rfam family "Bacterial small subunit ribosomal RNA", at positions 46 to 951 of the family's 1533-position model. The record is from RNAcentral. Lineage: Bacteria; Pseudomonadati; Pseudomonadota; Gammaproteobacteria; Pseudomonadales; Pseudomonadaceae.